AUGAGGAAGGAAUUUGUCUCAGUCCACUUCCACACCUGUCCACCUGAGCUGGGCGUUAGCCUGAGCCUUUGCCUCUGUAUGGAUCCCUACAUUAAAUACCCAGCUCCUCUGCGCGAUUACAGCAGCCUCCGGAGCUCUCCCAAAUUGUCACCUAGGAUGAAUAUGACAGCAAACAAUGCUUUAAAAGUGACUUUGAGUUUUAUGCAAUUUCUUGUAUAAAAGGAGAGCCUGAGUCCAUGGAAGUUGGGAUUGAACAUCCUGAAUAUGCAGUUCCUUGGAGAGCCACCAAGAAAAGACCUAAGCAAGAGACAUGAUGUCACCUUCGGGGAGGAGGCUCUUCAAGCUGUUUGGCAUGAGAAGAGGAGGAAUGAGGAGGAUCACUGGCCUUGAACCCCCAAAGAGAGGCUAGAGCACCUUUCUAGGACCCAGUCCAGGGUUUGUCUUGAACAUCCAGCUCCAAAAGAGAUGCUGUGCAGAUUCAAGCUGCCAAGUCCUGAAGGACCUGAGGGAAAACCCAACCCCAAGCAGCCCAGAUGGUAUCUGAGUAUCCUGUGCCCUACCCACGAAGAUCAGGAGCCUAAAGGCUAGAGCUCACUGCAGAACCAGACCAAAGACAGUUUAAGGGCCAUUGAGCCAAGCCUUCCUGACCUCCCAUGGAGAGGGGAAGAGAGAACAGGACCUCCACUUAUCCACCUACCCGCUGCUGAGUCCCUUUAGCCCUUGGCAUGGUAAUUAACGGUCAGGAAGUUAUGCAUCAGCCUCAGCAAGCUAACAUGGCAGGAGAUCCCUCCUGACAGCAGAGCUAAUAAGAAAUUUGCUAAUGCAAUUUAUCACUUUAAAAAGCCAUAUGUCGGUGGGGAUGAGCACUUCUCUGCAGCAGCUAGUGUAAUUGUCAGAACAGAGCAGCGAGCAGCUCUGAGAAGGGGGUGAGGAUGAUGUCUUCACUAAAUCAGUGGUGCAAUGCAGCAGGCGAGGGGGCUGGGAGGAGGGGUGUGGUGCUGGGUGGAGGGCUCCCAGCUCUCAAACUCCCAGGAAGCCAGUGCUGCAGACCUGUUCUGGGGCCCCAUUAAAAACCAGAUUCCCUGAACUCCAGCCCCUGCUGCCUUUGAGCUGCAUGAACCUGCGCUUUGGUUCCUGCCACAGUGUUAAAAAAGAAGCGACUCUGUCUGCAGUAAUGGCUGAUCUAAGUCUCAGCCAUUGAGUGUCAACACACAGGACCCCACUCCAGCUCCUCCUGGGGGCAGGGCUGAUGCCAUGUGCACAUUUGGUCUUUCUCUCCCAGACCCCUGCGAUAACUUCAUCCAGGACAAGGGCCACUGGUCCUUAGUCAGAGGCAGGGAAAGAUUAGAAAUCCACCUCAGGCCCAACAACAUCUCUGCUUUCAGUUUAGACAAAAGGCAAAUUGCUUUGAGUACCCAGUGUUUGCCAAAAUAAAGAGUGGUUUCUGCAAAGGGGAAAAACUGCUGUUGUGGGAUUUUGCUUCAAACACUCAAUUGCAAACCAUUUUUCCCAAAGCAAAUUGAUAGAGAAGCAAGUAAAACAGGUGCCCCUUCUGGGAAUGAAGUCCAGGGCUGCUGGGAAGGCUGUGGGAAGGAAUAAGAAUAUCCACACGGCUGGAUCUCCACUGCUUUCUGGAAUAGUCCCCACUCUCAGUUAUCUGUGGAAUGAGAGGGGCUGGGGAGAGGGAUGAGGUAGGGCAAGCCACCACCACCAACACCCAGAGAAACAUCACACUCAGUUUCCACCAACUAAACUUCCCUCUAAAGCAAAUUUUGACCCUAAUUGUUCUCUGUCCUUUAAAUUAAUGCUUUUUUUUUUUAAGACGGAGUUUCACUCCUG
RNAcentral lists this long non-coding RNA (1839 nucleotides) under Homo sapiens (human). RNAcentral describes it as "non-protein coding lnc-EPCAM-2:3". The record is from RNAcentral. Lineage: Eukaryota; Metazoa; Chordata; Mammalia; Primates; Hominidae.